AGAGUUUGAUCCUGGCUCAGGAUGAACGCUAGCGGCAGGCCUAAUACAUGCAAGGCGAACGGCAAGCGGUGCAGCAAUGCACUGCCCAGAGUGCCGUAAGGGUGCGUAACACGUAUGCAACCUGCCCGCGACAGGAGGACAGCUCCCCGAAAGGGGAAUUAACCCUCCAUGGGACCGCGCGAGGGCAUCCGAGCGCGGUU
RNAcentral lists this ribosomal RNA (200 nucleotides) under uncultured bacterium. Its description in RNAcentral is "partial 16S ribosomal RNA". It matches the Rfam family "Bacterial small subunit ribosomal RNA", at positions 8 to 202 of the family's 1533-position model. The record is from RNAcentral.